Molecule: RNA transcript, 5955 nt
Organism: Cygnus atratus (black swan)
Lineage: Eukaryota; Metazoa; Chordata; Aves; Anseriformes; Anatidae
Gene: FASTKD2
Gene name: FAST kinase domains 2
Exons: 14
Source: RefSeq, a predicted model, not a curated record
CGGCGCGCGCCGUCCCCUCUCGCGAGGCUGGCGCAGGGCGGCCGGGCGGCAUGGCGGCGCCGCGCGACGGGCUGGUUUCCGCAGGAGGAAUUUCGUCGGGUCCCCUGUCUUGAGUUGGCACGUCAAAUCCGUUCGUGAGACACUCAUAAAAAUGAAUAAUAAGAUAAGUAACUUGUUGAACACAGUCAGGUGCUUGCGUAGGUGCGGUCCUGUGCUUGCUCCCAAGUACUCAGCCGCCACAAGAAAACACAUUUCAUGGGUUGGCAGGCACAAGGAUCCCCUGGAAAAUGUGAACUUCAGAAAAUCCUUUCUAAAUAUUUUUCCCUCUCCACGUGGAUCAUCUCUUCGGUUUCUAUCUCAAAAGGCAGAUGUUUUUAGCACAGGUGACGAAAUACAACCAGAGAAGAGUACGGAGGCUGUGGGGAGCGAGCAGGCUCCCCAGAGCUCCUUGGAAUUGAAAAACUUGGAGGAUGAUUCUGAGGGCUUCAAGGCGAAGCCUGUUCUGGAUCAUAACGAACAAUUCUUUAGUAGUCUCCGGAAAUGCACUUGUCCUAGCGAUGUGCUGGAUUUGGCUUCAGAGUCUGCUGUUUCCGUUAAGCAUUACACAAACUGUUUAACUACAGUAUGGAGACUCCUCAAAAGCCUGUCUGAAGACCAGCAGCGUUAUGAGAAGCAGCUGAUCUUUGAGCACCCAGCCUUUGUCAAGCUUUGUCAGCACCUGCUGCGAGACUCCAGAAGGAUGACACGGGCUGACCUGGUGUUCAGUCUGCAUGCUGUGGUGAACCUCGGUGUUCCUCAGAACACUCUCCUAGUCCAGACUUUGUUGAGGGUAUGCCAGGAAAAGCUCAAUCAACUUGAUAACCGGUGUAUCUCGGUUUUGGCAACUACUUUAGCAGGGCUGGAUAAAGACAAGAAUGUGAGCGCUCUUCAAGCUGGAUUACAAUUACUAGCGGAGCAGCGAAUCCCAAGUAUCGGAGACAUCUUUAUACUGCAAAACCUGAUGAAAUGCAUGGGAAAAGAUGCUCCAGUCUUUCUGAAAAAGAAAUUAGAGAUGGCAGUUUUGAAAGAGAUUGACCACCUGACUUACCUAAACGCUCGGCGUGUGUUUUUGGGUCUUGUUGCAAUGAAUUAUUGUUCCAUUCCGAUCCUGAAUGCCUGCAGUAAAAAGAUCCAGGAGAAUAUUCAUGAUGCUCGAUUUUGGCAUUUAAUUCUUAUUCUGGAAGCUUGUCACAAUCUCCAGUACCGUAAUGUAAAACUGUUUUCAACAGUAGCAGACUAUGUUAAUUCCAUUGUCUGCAUUUUGGACAAAAAACAGAUUAUCCUUUUUCUGUCUGCCUUCGAGAUACUUGGCUUUCAGCCCAGUGAAUUGAUGGGUGUUUUUGCUGAGAAGGUGACAGCAGACUCUGAAUUCCUGGACUUGAAAAGCCUUUUGAUUGUUCUCCGAGUGUAUUCACGACUCAACUACCUUCCCAAAGGCCAACAUCAUUUGUUUUUUGAGACUCUUCAGAGCUGCUUGAAUAAGUACCUUCCCCAGAUUUCCAACACAGAACUGCUGAAGGCAGUGUAUUCACUUUGCAUCUUAGGAUACCUUCCUCAUCGUGCACUUGAUCAGCUGCUGCAAAAGGAGAGCUACGAAGGACUUCUACCGUCAGGUGAUCUUUACAAAGAAAAAAAGGAAAUGAUGCUUCGCUGUGUGAGGACAUGUAUGGAACUUGAUAGCCCUUCCUUCACAAAGCCUGCAUUUGUGCCAACUGAGAAUUUCUCCUCAUUAGUAUCUCUUAAUCUCAGAAAGGCUCGGGAGGCACUGCUGGAACUUCUGGGAGAUGAGAAUAUGUUUCGGCAAAAUGUUCAGCUGCCAUAUAAAUAUCAUAUUGAUUUUGAAAUCAGGAUGGAUUCAGACAGAAAGAAAGUGCUCCCAGUAACUGCAACAGAUAAUCAUGCUGACACAAGCGUUCAAAGAUUGGCGUUUCUCUUUGUUCCUGUGUCUGCAUUUUGUUUGGGUACAACACACCCCCAAGGGAAGCUUGCAAUGAAGAAGCGGCAUCUAAAUAAAUUGGGCUAUCAUGUGAUUCUGGUUCUGAAUAAGAAGUUUCAGGAAAUGACAAAUGAAGAUGCAGUUGAGUUUUUAAAAGGAAAAAUCUAUUCUGAAAAUGCUUCCCCUAUCUUAUAAACUAUUUAAAGAGAUUUUACAAUACUCAGGUUUGUUCAUUACAUAUUGUGAUGCACCUCUACUACUAAAAGGUAAAAUGAUAGCAUGGUGGAAUUUAUUAUAUUGGCAGAGGCCUACAAGUUCAAAACAGCUUUAGGAGUUUGAGCUCAAAGAACAUAGAGAACUGGUACAUCUUUUCUGUUCUUGAUAAUUUACUGAUUUUUUUUUUUUUACUGAUUUUUUCUUGAUAUUUACUGGUAAAACCCAUUUGUUGCACUAGAAUUACUGGAGUACUUAGCAAGAGCAUUACAAUGUUUGGACUUACAUACAUUUGCCAAGAACAGGUCGCUUGUUUCUGCUGUACAAUCAGAUCUUCAGCCAUAAUUUUGCUCUACCAUAACCACAGCCAAAUUGGCAUGAAGGGAAACAGCAAUACUUACUACAGUGACCGCACGUUACCUAAUGGUGGUGCCCUUGCUUCACUUGAUAAGCUACAAGUAUGUUCUUUGUCUUUCUGAAGUAGCAUGCAUGUAUGGAUAAGGUAUUACAAUAAUGAAAUAAGGUCAAAAAGAAUGCUUAAAAAAAUUCACUGUGCAAUUUCUUGCAGAACAUGUAGAUAACAGUAUGGUGCACAUUUAUGAAGGAAACCAACUAAAAAGCAUCACAGUCUGGCAUAAAAAGCAUAGAGUGUUGUUCAGCAUUUCAAUCUCUGAAAUACAGCAAGUGCUGAAAAACAGAUUUUUUUGCAAUUGUAAAACUUAACCAGAUCAGAGUUAAUCUGCUUAACUUGAUGUGAAGUUUAUCAUGCCUCUUUUUUUAUCUGCUACUUUAAGGAAGUAUUGUCUGCAUGAACUCAUCUGUAAAGCAGAAUGGUGAGGGCCAUUCUGAUUUUCUGAGCUAGCCAACUGACUCAUGGUCUUUGGCCAGCACUGAAGGAGGUGUGAAAUAUUCUUGUCCGUGCUGGAGUGCUGGGUGGUGCUCAGACCUGUGUUUGAGACAGUAUUUGAUUCUGUUCAAAGGUGAAGCCUUGCAAACCAAGCUACUACAGUGUCAGCUGCAGCUCUCACCUGGUCUGGGGAACUGCUGUUUCUGCUUCAGGCUUUCCAGUCAGGUUCUCAGUAGCAGAUCACUUGAAGGACAUCCACAUACAAAAGGGUGACAAGCUCAGACCACUGUCAUGUAUCACACAAUCAAGACGAAAACAUUGUGGGAAGAACUUACAAGUUAUAUAGCAAACUUCACUGGCUCAGGGAUAACGUUAACCACUGCAGGAUGUAUGAACAGAUCUAAAAUGAGAGCGUGAAACAGGAAGGCAGAAGAUGUGUGCUGCAAGGGUCAAGAAGGCUCUUGCAUGAACAGAAAAUAAACUAGUACCAUCUGAGCAAAAAUGAAACAAAGUUUGUUAAGUAAUGCAGAAUGAGAACAGCAAGGGUCUGGAAAAUAAAACACAAGCAGCUGGAUUUGCAGACCUCGAUGACCUGUGUUCCUCUGCUGCUUGGAUUUGCUUAUGUCUGAAAACACAUUUGAGCCCUAACUCCAGUCUUUUCAGGGGUAUGAAAUAUCUCAAUCACUCAGCCGCUCAUUCAUGUGAAACGUCCAGGAACUCUCCUUAAAACUUCCACUUUGCUCUCAAACUGGCCAAGAGGUUCAAAAAUGACUGGGAAAGAGGGACUGAGUGCAUUGGAAUAGCUUGAUUUUUGUUAAGGACAUCAGCAUUUAAAUAAACCUUGGAAUUAGGGAAUGAAAGUCUGUUUCUCAGGUAUUGCAACUGUUUCUGCAUAUGCAAGAGGUUAAAUAAUGCUCUGUAUGCAGAGGCCAAAAGAUGUGUCUAUUGUCAAUUCCUAAAGUGAAGAAAAUUUUAAUAUCCAGAGCUGAUACUAAGAUUUCCCUCUAAAGCUUGUUUUGUUAGUCACCACUGCAACAGGAAUGAUUUUUUAUUGCUAUUUGUUAACGCUAAGUUAUUCCCAUUCCAUGUGAAUCUCACAGCACACAAGCUGGCAUGAGUGAGGUCUCAGUUUCAGUUACUCUUUGCUGGCAGGAAAAUAUCUGAACUCAAGAAGAAUUGCAGAUGUUAUGUAGAACUCAGAAAAGGUGGAGUAUUUACUCCAAGGCCAAAUGUGCUGAAAUUAGUUAUCUCUGAACAAAAGCAGAGCCAGUAAAAAAACAGCAAUGGAAUAUGAUGGUUAUCUGUCAUUCUCUACGGACAUACUUUUAAAGCAAUUAUGAUAUUUAAGCACACGUUUUACUGAACAUGUAAUCCUGUGUUUCUGUUCUUUGCUAGUGACCAUAGCUGCUUUAGAAGUUCUGCAUUGUUCUUCUCUUUUAUGUGAUGCCAAUGUAAUGGGUUGCUGUAUUCAAGAUCUGUCCUUCUAGCAGCAGCAGUUUUUUGCUUUCUUUCACUAUUUCUGGAUAAUGGCAGUAUGGAGUGAAAGCAUGAAUGUGGUUAAUACUGUAAAUAACAGCCCAGGAACAAGAAGGAUAACCUGUCUUUGGGUCUGCAGCAAGUCCUUGUGUCCAGAGACAACCAGUGACAACAUCCAUUUCAUCCUGUUUCCUCUUUUUGAAAAUAUUCCCAUACUAUACUGCAAUAACAUUGUUGCCAUGGCACCCAUCAAAACCCAGAUAUGCUCCUGCUUUAACGUAGCAAGAUGCAAAUUUUGAUAAGAGGAGAAUUUCUUUUCAUUUUUCACUGCUAUAGGUAUAGGAUUCUAUCCAUGCCUCCAGACAGAUGCAAUUUACUAAACACUCUUUGUUAUUUCUGAAUACAUGCCAUGCAUUAUUCUUAUCAGUUCAACCCACAAAGGGUUCCUGCUAAAUUUUCUGUACUUGCCUGUUUGAUUUUCAUGGUACAGAUUCCUCUAUGUAUGUCAUCUGCACUCGACCACCCUUUAGAAAGGUGGGGAAGUGUGGGGGAAAAGGGGGAGUGGCUCAUCAGCUGGUUUAAAUUGAAGUCAGUGCAUCACAGCAAUAUACACCAGCUGAGGUUCUGGUUCUACAUCUUCAAAGGAGAAAACUUGAACUGAUAUGCAAGCCGUUUUCUUCUUCUGCAACAGAGAACAGCUGGUGAAUCUGACUCUGACUGUAUGCAGCCUAGUGUAAAUAGUGGUAAUUGCCACUGAAGUCUUGAUUUGUACUGAUAGAGUUGGUUGUGGAAGAGAUUAUAUGUGUGUAUGUUCAGACUUUAUUGCACACAACAGCUAGGGAGGGAGAAGAGUCUGGAGCCCACAUCUGAAGUCAUGUUGAUCACGUCAUAAAAGAAUAUUUAAAGUGUAUUUAUUAAAGACAAAUAUUGUGUUCCUGCUUGCCCUUUGUGCUGGCUCAGCAGUUAGAUAUCAGCUUUAGUGGAAUGACAGACAGUUCUGUGACAAAGGCAAUUCUCUGGAAAGUACAAAGGCAACCUAAACCCCUUGUAUGCUGGGGUGUGUGAGGUAAGAAGAGGGUAAAGAUUGCUAAUGCGUUUGUCUCUGUUGUCUUAGAACAUGUUCCAUUCUGUGAAUGAGUGAUUUGCUCAAGGGACAUACUCUCUGCUAAAUGAAUCUUCAUUCUGGGUCACUUUUGUAUAAAUGUAAGGAAAAUGAUGGAGAUCUGAAAAGUUAAGCUGGCAAAAAAUAAAUGUGUUUGGAGAUUUCCUCUGUACCAGUCUAUGCUGAAGGAACAGUACAAAACGAUGAAUGCUUCACUGAUGUCAGCAAGAUUUCAUUCUCAGUAGAGUCAGCACUCCCCCUAAAAGGUACUACUGAGGUGGAUGAAGGUUGGUAUGAUUUCUGGUUAUGCAGAAUAAAAAGAGAACUUUACCAUCUUUUUGU